GAUGAACGCUGGCGGCGUGCCUAAUACAUGCAAGUCGAGCGAACAGACGAGGAGCUUGCUCCUCUGACGUUAGCGGCGGACGGGUGAGUAACACGUGGAUAACCUACCUAUAAGACUGGGAUAACUUCGGGAAACCGGAGCUAAUACCGGAUAAUAUAUUGAACCGCAUGGUUCAAUAGUGAAAGACGGUUUUGCUGUCACUUAUAGAUGGAUCCGCGCCGCAUUAGCUAGUUGGUAAGGUAACGGCUUACCAAGGCGACGAUGCGUAGCCGACCUGAGAGGGUGAUCGGCCACACGGGAACUGAGACACGGUCCAGACUCCUACGGGAGGCAGCAGUAGGGAAUCUUCCGCAAUGGGCGAAAGCCUGACGGAGCAACGCCGCGUGAGUGAUGAAGGUCUUCUGAUCGUAAAACUCUGUUAUUAGGGAAGAACAAAUGUGUAAGUAACUAUGCACGUCUUGACGGUACCUAAUCAGAAAGCCACGGCUAACUACGUG
Molecule: ribosomal RNA, 497 nt
Filed under: uncultured bacterium
Lineage: Bacteria
Description: partial 16S ribosomal RNA
Rfam family: Bacterial small subunit ribosomal RNA
Source: RNAcentral